UACGGAGGGUGAAAGAGUUAAAAGGAAAUACUGGGUUUAAAGGGUGCGUAGGUGGGUAGGUAAGUCAGUGGUGAAAUCUUCAAGCUUAACUUGGAAACUGCCAUUGAUACUAUUUAUCUUGAAUUAUCUGGAGGUAAGCGGAAUAUGUCAUGUAGCGGUGAAAUGCUUAGAUAUGACAUAGAACACCCAUUGCGAAGGCAGCUUACUACGGAUAUAUUGACACUGAGGCACGAAAGCGUGGGGAUCAAACAGG
This 253-nucleotide ribosomal RNA is filed under the name uncultured bacterium. RNAcentral's name for it is "partial 16S ribosomal RNA". It matches the Rfam family "Bacterial small subunit ribosomal RNA", at positions 524 to 776 of the family's 1533-position model. The record is from RNAcentral.